CCUACGGGAGGCAGCAGUGAGGAAUAUUGGUCAAUGGACGAGAGUCUGAACCAGCCAAGUAGCGUGAAGGAUGACUGCCCUAUGGGUUGUAAACUUCUUUUAUAAAGGAAUAAAACGAGGCACGUGUGCCUUUUUGCAUGUACUUUAUGAAUAAGGAUCGGCUAACUUCGUGCCAGCAGCCGCGGUAAUACGGAGGAUCCGAGCGUUAUCCGGAUUUAUUGGGUUUAAAGGGAGCGUAGAUGGGUUGUUAAGUCAGUUGUGAAAGUUUGCGGCUCAACCGUGAAAUUGCAAUUGAUACUGGCAGUCUUGAGUACAGUUGAGGUAGGCGGAAUUCGUGGUGUAGCGGUGAAAGGCUUAGAUAUCACGAAGAACCCCGAUUGCGAAGGCAGCUUACUAAACUGUGACUGACAUUGAUGCUCGAAAGUGUGGGUAUCAAACAGGAUUAGAUACCCCGGUAGUC
RNAcentral lists this ribosomal RNA (460 nucleotides) under uncultured bacterium. Its description in RNAcentral is "partial 16S ribosomal RNA". It matches the Rfam family "Bacterial small subunit ribosomal RNA", at positions 338 to 795 of the family's 1533-position model. The record is from RNAcentral.